RNAcentral lists this long non-coding RNA (2987 nucleotides) under Bemisia tabaci. Its description in RNAcentral is "lncRNA ENSSSA2NGG014332". Lineage: Eukaryota; Metazoa; Arthropoda; Insecta; Hemiptera; Aleyrodidae. The record is from RNAcentral.
UCACAGAAAGAGAGUGCGUUCCAAUUUUUUACCUUUUAAGGCCUCAUGUCAGAUUUUGCAAUUGAAUUUUUUUGUGGAAAUGUAAAACAAAAAGUUCAUCCGGCAAACGAGCGUUGUCAGUAAGAGUCAUACCUCUGCCGAGUGCCUCUACUUUCAUCCAUGCAGUCAUGAGACUCAUCUUGGCGUCUUUGUGUUUCUCUGUGAUCGUUGUUGUCGUAUCUCCAGCUCAAAACGGUGGCAAUAAAAAUGCAGGUGUUGGAGGAAGAGUUGGACAAGUAGUAGAAUGGUCAAAACAGCAGGGUCAAAAAAUCAAGGACGCCAAUAUCGUGGAGCGAGUUAAAGAUCAAAUUCCAGGCAGGCCCAGAAAAACAGAGACUGAACAACAAACAGAAUCAAAGCACCCUCGUGUUCCGUGCGUCCAGCACUGUGCUAAUCUUUUCGGUUUCGUCUUCGAGUCGCUCUCAACGGACAGGAUCCUGAGAUUUUCUGAGGGUAUUAUCAUUCCUAUUACCAAAGGGAUAGAAGUCGAGGGGACCCAAAGAAACCCGGAAAAUCAUUCAAGUUUGGCCAACGUGCACAAACACAUACCUGCGUAUUGUAAAUGCGAAGCAACGGAUGGAUUCGCUCGUUUUCUGGAAGACAACGAAUUGGAUAUUGAAAUCUUUAAUUUUCAUAAAAAUAAUGACAGGAUACAGGCUGCUGUGGAUUACAUAUACGACGGCACCGUCAAGUUGAACAAAAAGUAUGGGGCAAAGACUUUCACGUACAUUGAUCAUCGAGGCUUGAUGACGUUAAUGCUUGCUGAGAUGAAAAAAGUGAAAAUAUACGAUCCUGAUCGAUGGAUGUACCCUGAGAGAGCCGCAAUAAAUGUACAGUAGACUCUGGAUUAUCCGGAUUAAUUGGUGCCGGGCCCGAUCCGGAUAAAAAAAAAAUCCGGAUAAUAAUAGGAAACACAAACACCACCAACCAACACCACAGUAUUCUUAUUAUUUAUACAUCAUGUACAUACCAACUUAAACGGGCUUGAAGUAGGCAGUCAACGGUCUCUGCCUUUUAGAAUCCGCGUGUUUCUUGGAUGCCAAAUCCCGCCAGCGUUGUAAAUAACUGAUGUUGAUUGCCGUUGAUUCCGACUGCUCCGCGAUGUAGUUGAGCGCACCUAUUAGGGACUUGUAUCCUUGGGAGUGUGGAAUGGAAACACAGGCUGGUUCACUGUCGAUCCGGAUUAUCCAGAGUCCGGAUAAUACGAAGCCGGAUAAUCCAGAGUCCGGAUAAUACGAAGCCGGAUAAUCCAGAGUCCGGAUAAUACGAAGCCGGAUAAUCCAGAGUCCGUAUAAUACGAAGCCGGAUAAUCCAGAGUCCGGAUAAUACGAAGCCGGAUAAUCCAGAGUCCGGAUAAUACGAAGCCGGAUAAUCCAGAGUCCGGAUAAUACGAAGCCGGAUAAUCCAGAGUCUACUGUAUCGUAAUCCUCGAUUGGUCUCUAUUCGAACGGAUUUGAGGAUACAAAAUAUUCACCCAAGUCUCUCACAAAACACUUGUAUGAAAGAAUGUACUGCUAGAGCUACAGGUUCAAAUGAAAUCAAGUUAACAAUUUAAACACUUAAAAUUCUGCUAUAAAUGUGUCGAAUUCAUCACAUUCAAAGUAUUGGGAGUGACUUUGUUUGUCCUCGAUGCUCAGUCCUCUAAAUGUAUGUUACUCAUUAGGAUUUCGCACAUUCAUCUAACACUUCUUUGCCUGAGAGCCCUGGGAGUGAAUCAUAUGAAAAAAUCAUAUUGGGAAAUUCCAGGAUUUUAAUUUGCUAUUUUGGAUAUUUUUCAAUCCUUUUGGUCAGUUAUUUUCAAUAGUCUAUCGGGAAGCGCCCACUGUCUUAUAGCCGAGGAGGCGUAGCCAUAUUUCCUCCCAUUAGUUUAGCUUUUACUCUUGGUUUUGAGUAUUUUUUACCAUGGCGCAUAUUCAUGGUAUCACAAUCUCUGUUGAAAAUGUUUUUUCAUCAAUGCCUGUUUUCGUUCUGAUAUUUUUUGUGAAUAUUCUCCGUGCCGAAGUAAAUAUUGAUGGCGAAAAUGCGAAAUCUCGUAACUAUUGCGGUGUUUCAAAUUUUCCGCUCCUAAUGAAUUUUUUAAAGGAGAAACAAGCCAAAUUUGUAGCUUUCUACUGACGGAAAAAAUCAAGGAAGUUUUCGAGAAAUUCCUUUGACUUGCUUUCCAAAUAAAAGCAGGGUCUGACAGAAAGUCUGCACCGUUGCGGACGAACAAACGUGAUUUCGCACUUUGGCCAUUGAUAUGUAAAUUCAAAUUGACAACAAAGGCGCGAACUCAAUCUUCCGUUCGAAGUUUUUAAAGUCGGAUGUUACUUUACAUUUACGUAAGAGCACAAAACAUAGCUCGAAUAAUGUUGCCCAUUCAAUGUUUUAACCUUGUUUACCCAUAUUUUAAUUCCCUCCCUAUUCAUUUGAACGUAUUUAUCAUUUAAUCGGAAAAUUAGCUCUUUUUAGCUUUGCAACUUUGCGUAAAGAAAUUCAUACAUUCCAUCUAAAAAAAUUCUUGAUUAUGAGGUUUUAAAUAAUUAAUUUACUUGAUAUUCAGUAUUUGAUUAUUUCAUUUGAUCUCUGAGAUGACCAAAGUCCAGGAUUUUAUUUUUGACUAUAUUCGUUAGUGACAUUCUGUAUUAUAGUGAAGGUUGAUUAUAGUGAAGAUUGAAUUUGAAAGUGUCUUCUCCUCCCACCUAAAGUGUCGUCUUUGGUUCUAAGAUAAAAUCAACGUGCAGUCGUUUGUAUCUAUCUAUGAUCAGUGUACUAUGUAUAUCCUAUUCACCAAGCCUGCUUUACGUCAUAAAUCGAUUAAAGUGGUUGUGUGUGUCCAUUUAUUGUCUUAAUUUGUUAACAAUUGAUUCCCAUUUUUCUCGUUUGAUCGCUCAAGAUUUCUAAUUCACUCGCUGAGAGCUCAGCUCUGAAUCAAAAAGAACUUACUAAACUAUCGGUCUGUCAAACUG